UUAGGAAUCUUGCGCAAUGGGCGAAAGCCUGACGCAGCAACGCCGCGUGAGGGAUGAAGGCUCUCGGGUUGUAAACCUCUUUCAGCAGGGACGAUUGUGACGGUACCUGCCGAAGAAGGACCGGCCAACUACGUGCCAGCAGCCGCGGUAAUACGUAGGGUCCGAGCGUUGUCCGGAUUUAUUGGGCGUAAAGAGCUCGUAGGCGGCUCAGUAAGUCAGAUGUGAAAACUCAGGGCUCAACCCGGAGACGCCAUCUGAUACUGCUGUGGCUUGAGUCUGGUAGGGGAUCACGGAAUUCCUGGUGUAGCGGUGAAAUGCGCAGAUAUCAGGAGGAACACCGAUGGCGAAGGCAGUGAUCUGGGCCAGUACUGACGCUGAGGAGCGAAAGCGUGGGUAGCAAA
Molecule: ribosomal RNA, 401 nt
Filed under: uncultured bacterium
Lineage: Bacteria
Description: bacterial SSU rRNA
Rfam family: Bacterial small subunit ribosomal RNA
Source: RNAcentral